CGGCGGACGGGUGAGUAACGCGUGGGUAACCUGCCUCAUACAGGGGGAUAACAGUUGGAAACGGCUGCUAAUACCGCAUAAGCGCACAGUACCGCAUGGUACGGUGUGAAAAACUCCGGUGGUAUGAGAUGGACCCGCGUCUGAUUAGGUAGUUGGUAGGGUAACGGCCUACCAAGCCGACGAUCAGUAGCCGACCUGAGAGGGUGACCGGCCACAUUGGGACUGAGACACGGCCCAA
This 238-nucleotide ribosomal RNA is filed under the name uncultured bacterium. RNAcentral's name for it is "partial 16S ribosomal RNA". It matches the Rfam family "Bacterial small subunit ribosomal RNA", at positions 96 to 334 of the family's 1533-position model. The record is from RNAcentral.